RNAcentral lists this ribosomal RNA (569 nucleotides) under Bipolaris sorokiniana. RNAcentral's name for it is "eukaryotic LSU rRNA". The stretch from base 193 to 346 matches the Rfam family "5.8S ribosomal RNA". The record is from RNAcentral. Lineage: Eukaryota; Fungi; Ascomycota; Dothideomycetes; Pleosporales; Pleosporaceae.
GAACCUGCGGAGGGAUCAUUACACAACAAAAUAUGAAGGCCUGGCUUCGCGGCCGGCUGAAAUAUUUUUUUCACCCAUGUCUUUUGCGCACUUGUUGUUUCCUGGGCGGGUUCGCCCGCCACCAGGACCAAACCAUAAACCUUUUUUUUAUGCAGUUGCAAUCAGCGUCAGUAAAAACAAUGUAAUUAUUACAACUUUCAACAACGGAUCUCUUGGUUCUGGCAUCGAUGAAGAACGCAGCGAAAUGCGAUACGUAGUGUGAAUUGCAGAAUUCAGUGAAUCAUCGAAUCUUUGAACGCACAUUGCGCCCUUUGGUAUUCCAAAGGGCAUGCCUGUUCGAGCGUCAUUUGUACCUUCAAGCUUUGCUUGGUGUUGGGCGUUUUUUGUCUCCCUCUUUCUGGGAGACUCGCCUUAAAACGAUUGGCAGCCGGCCUACUGGUUUCGGAGCGCAGCACAUAUUUUGCGCUUUGUAUCAGGAGAAAAGGACGGUAAUCCAUCAAGACUCUACAUUUUUAACUUUGACCUCGGAUCAGGUAGGGAUACCCGCUGAACUUAAGCAUAUCAAUAAG